This 537-nucleotide ribosomal RNA is filed under the name Scheffersomyces shehatae. Its description in RNAcentral is "eukaryotic LSU rRNA". It matches the Rfam family "Eukaryotic large subunit ribosomal RNA", at positions 92 to 647 of the family's 3401-position model. The record is from RNAcentral. Lineage: Eukaryota; Fungi; Ascomycota; Pichiomycetes; Serinales; Debaryomycetaceae.
AGUGAAGCGACAAAAGCUCAAAUUUGAAAUCUGGCACCUUCGGUGUCCGAGUUGUAAUUUGAAGAAGGUAACUUUGGAGUUGGCUCUUGUCUAUGUUCCUUGGAACAGGACGUCACAGAGGGUGAGAAUCCCGUGCGAUGAGAUGUCCAACUCUAUGUAAAGUGCUUUCGAAGAGUCGAGUUGUUUGGGAAUGCAGCUCUAAGUGGGUGGUAAAUUCCAUCUAAAGCUAAAUAUUGGCGAGAGACCGAUAGCGAACAAGUACAGUGAUGGAAAGAUGAAAAGAACUUUGAAAAGAGAGUGAAAAAGUACGUGAAAUUGUUGAAAGGGAAGGGUUUGAGAUCAGACUUGGUAUUUUGUAUGUCUUGCUUUCGGGUGGGGCCUCUGCAGUUUACUGGGCCAGCAUCGGUUUGGACGGUAGGAUAAUGACAUUGGAAUGUGGCACUACUUCGGUGGUGUGUUAUAGACUUUGUUGAUACUGCCUGUCUAGACCGAGGACUGCGUCUUUGACUAGGAUGCUGGCAUAAUGAUCCUAAACCG